CACGCAGCUGGCUUAGCUCUGGGACGAUGAAUCAGAAUAUGUUUGCUGCAUGCGGGGCCUCCUCUGGGAUAAAAUUGAACCCUUCUAACUUUCAGGGACUCCUGAAGAAAUUCCUGAACUUCUUCCAUUACCGGAUGCUUUCAUUUGCAGAAAAUGGAGAAAUCGAUUCACCAGAGGACUGGAACCAUGUUGGACAGGGAUUCAGGAGGACCUGUGCUUUGGACAUGUACUGUGUGAUUAUGGGCAAGUGAUAGCAUCUCUGAGGAUCAGUUCCAUUGGCUGUGAACAAAGGUAAUCAUGCCUGCUGUACCUUCCUCACAGACUCAAACAAAAUAAGUCUGCAAUGCACUAAAGUCAGUAAUAAUAAUGUUGUUGUUGCUAUCAUUAUCAUUUUUGUAGGACAAAUCACUGCCGCCCACUCAGAGGCCCCUUUCCCUGCUCUCAGUUCUUCCCAGCCACAGGUGUGCACU
RNAcentral lists this long non-coding RNA (470 nucleotides) under Monodelphis domestica (gray short-tailed opossum). Its description in RNAcentral is "lncRNA (ENSMODG00000044901.1)". Lineage: Eukaryota; Metazoa; Chordata; Mammalia; Didelphimorphia; Didelphidae. The record is from RNAcentral.